Non-coding RNA from Plectropomus leopardus (leopard coralgrouper), 461 nucleotides. The record is from RefSeq and is a predicted model, not a curated record. NCBI's taxonomy places the organism in Eukaryota, Metazoa, Chordata, Actinopteri, Perciformes, Serranidae.
CACUCCAUAACUGUUGACGUGUGUCCCUCCUCCUUCCAGAUCCAGCGUCUGCCGUUCUUACCCAGUUCAAACCUGGCUCUGGACACACUGCGAGGCAGCGACGAGUCCAUCGGCUUUGAGGACAUCCUCAGUGAUCCAGCCCAGAGUGAAGUGAUGGGCGAGCCGCACAUGAUGGUGGAAUACAAACUGGGACUGUUGUGAAAGAAGACGGACACACACACAAUACACAGCUGAACUCAUAAUUUAGGUUUAUUAUUUGUCUGCAUACAUUUGUUUUUUUUCGCCUCAAAAACCAAAAUCACCAACUUGAGGUUCUGCAGAAUUGAGUCGCUCAUGUUUUGGGAGGAGAAAGGGGCGGAUGGGUUGUGGGUGUGGGGGGUUAUCCUGUAAAAUUCAGAUCUGCUUUUGUAUGGUUCCAAUCCGAUUGGUAUUUCUAAUAAAACUCAUAACCUUCCUCAUAA